This 206-nucleotide ribosomal RNA is filed under the name uncultured bacterium. RNAcentral's name for it is "partial 16S ribosomal RNA". It matches the Rfam family "Bacterial small subunit ribosomal RNA", at positions 1293 to 1500 of the family's 1533-position model. The record is from RNAcentral.
UCGGAUUGCAGGCUGCAACCCGCCUGCAUGAAGUUGGAAUCGCUAGUAAUCGCGGAUCAGCAUGCCGCGGUGAAUACGUUCCCGGGCCUUGUACACACCGCCCGUCACACCAUGAGAGUCGGGAACACCCGAAGUCCGUAGCCUAACCGCAAGGGGGCGCGGCCGAAGGUGGGUUCGAUAAUUGGGUGAAGUCGUAACAAGGUAGC